AUUGAACGCUGGCGGCAGGCCUAACACAUGCCAGUCGAGCGGGGACUUCGGUCCUAGCGGCGAACGGGUGAGUAAUGCUUGGGAAUCUGCCCAGUAGUGGGGGAUAACGUCCCGAAAGGGACGCUAAUACCGCAUACGUGCUACGGGAGAGUGAGUGGGAUCUUUGGACCUCUCGCUAUUGGAUGAGCCCAAGUCGGAUUAGCUAGUUGGUAGGGUAAUGGCCUACCAAGGCGACGAUCCGUAGCUGGUCUGAGAGGAUGAUCAGCCACACUGGAACUGAUGCACGGUCCAGACUCCUACGGGAGGCAGCAGGGGGGAAUAUUGGACAAUGGGCGAAGGCCUAAUCCAGCCAUGCCGCGUGUGUGAAGAAGGCCUUCGGUUUGUAAAGCGAUUUAAGCGGGGAGGAAGGUUCGCGGCCUAAUACGUCGCAGAAUUGACGGUACCCGCAGAAUAAGCACCGGCUAACUCUGUG
Molecule: ribosomal RNA, 472 nt
Filed under: uncultured bacterium
Lineage: Bacteria
Description: partial 16S ribosomal RNA
Rfam family: Bacterial small subunit ribosomal RNA
Source: RNAcentral